CCUACGGGAGGCAGCAGUGGGGAAUAUUGGGCAAUGGGCGCAAGCCUGACCCAGCAACGCCGCGUGAAGGAAGAAGGCUUUCGGGUUGUAAACUUCUUUUAUCAGGGACGAAGCAAGUGACGGUACCUGAUGAAUAAGCCACGGCUAACUACGUGCCAGCAGCCGCGGUAAUACGUAGGGGGCGAGCGUUAUCCGGAUUUACUGGGUGUAAAGGGCGUGUAGGUGGGAGUGCAAGUCAGAUGUGAAAACUAUGGGCUCAACCCAUAGCCUGCCUUUGAAACUGUACUUCUUGAGUUCUGGGGAGGCAAGCGGAAUUCCGGGUGUAGCGGUGAAAUGCGUAGAUAUAAGGAAGAACACCAGUGGCGAAGGCAGAUUGCUGGACAGUAACUGACGCUGAGGCGCGAAAGUGUGGGGAGCAAACAGGAUUAGAUACCCCGGUAGUC
RNAcentral lists this ribosomal RNA (443 nucleotides) under uncultured bacterium. Its description in RNAcentral is "partial 16S ribosomal RNA". It matches the Rfam family "Bacterial small subunit ribosomal RNA", at positions 338 to 795 of the family's 1533-position model. The record is from RNAcentral.